RNAcentral lists this ribosomal RNA (701 nucleotides) under uncultured Glomeromycotina. RNAcentral's name for it is "SSU rRNA". It matches the Rfam family "Eukaryotic small subunit ribosomal RNA", at positions 362 to 1067 of the family's 1831-position model. The record is from RNAcentral. Lineage: Eukaryota; Fungi; Glomeromycota.
ACGGGGUGUUAGGGCACGACACCGGAGAGGGAGCCUGAGAAACGGCUACCACAUCCAAGGAUGGCAGCAGGCGCGCAAAUUACCCAAUCCCGACACGGGGAGGUAGUGACAAUAAAUAACAAUACGGGGUUCUUUAGGAUCUCGUAAUUGGAAUGAGUACAAUUUAAAUCUCUUAACGAGGAACAAUUGGAGGGCAAGUCUGGUGCCAGCAGCCGCGGUAAUUCCAGCUCCAAUAGCGUAUAUUAAGGUUGUUGCAGUUAAAAAGCUCGUAGUUGAAUUUCGGGGUUAGUAGGUUGGUCAUGCCUCUGGUAUGUACUGGUCUCACUGGUUCCUCCUUCCUGAUGAGCCGUAAUGCCAUUAAUUUGGUGUUGCGGGGAAUUUGGACUGUUACUUUGAAAAAAUUAGAGUGUUUAAAGCAAGCUAACGCUUGAAUACAUUAGCAUGGAAUAAUGAAAUAGGACGUUCGAUCCUAUUUUGUUGGUUUCUAGGAUUGACGUAAUGAUUAAUAGGGAUAGUUGGGGGCAUUAGUAUUCAAUUGUCCGAGGUGAAAUUCUUGGAUUUAUUGAAGACUAACUACUGCGAAAGCAUUUGCCAAGGAUGUUUUCAUUAAUCAAGAACGAAAGUUAGGGGAUCGAAGACGAUCAGAUACCGUCGUAGUCUUAACCAUAAACUAUGCCGACUAGGGAUCGGAUGAUGUUAAU